Molecule: long non-coding RNA, 419 nt
Filed under: Panax ginseng (ginseng)
Lineage: Eukaryota; Viridiplantae; Streptophyta; Magnoliopsida; Apiales; Araliaceae
Description: long non-coding RNA (PGIN_LNC014758)
Source: RNAcentral
AACAUUCUAAUAUUGAUCAGUUCAAUCACAGAACAAUUCAUAUCAUAGAAACACUGAAGUGUUUAAAUUCUGCCACAAGGCCUCAUAUAUUCUAACACCUUGUACAAAUAUCACACAUUUGCACAUAGACAGAACUUCUUAAGUUCAACAUCUGAAAAGUUUUAAAAACUAGCAUUCAUUUGAAAUAUGAAUGAAGUUAGGAAAUUUGCCUUACGCACAACUAUAGCUUAUAGUUUACGCUGAACUGUUCAUUCCAAUUCCUAUAUAGCACAUAAGGAAAUAACACAUACACCAAUUAGUCAUAUACUUGACUUUACACAUUGGUUUACUUAACUUUACUUCUUAGGGUUAACGUUCUUAUAAACUAAGUUUACGCGACCAACUUCUUUUACCGGUUAACGGCUUCAUGAUAUACGGAG